Molecule: ribosomal RNA, 460 nt
Filed under: uncultured bacterium
Lineage: Bacteria
Description: partial 16S ribosomal RNA
Rfam family: Bacterial small subunit ribosomal RNA
Source: RNAcentral
CCUACGGGUGGCAGCAGUGAGGAAUAUUGGUCAAUGGGCGUAAGCCUGAACCAGCCAAGUCGCGUGAGGGAUGAAGGUUCUAUGGAUCGUAAACCUCUUUUAUAAGGGACUAAAGUGCGGGACGUGUCCCGUUUUGUAUGUACCUUAUGAAUAAGGAUCGGCUAACUCCGUGCCAGCAGCCGCGGUAAUACGGAGGAUCCGAGCGUUACCCGGAUUUAUUGGGUGUAAAGGGUGCGUAGGCGGCCUUUUAAGUCAGCGGGGAAAGUCUGUGGCUCAACCAUAGAAUUGCAGUUGAAACUGGGAGGCUUGGGUAUGUUUGAGGCAGGCGGAAUGCGUGGUGUAGCGGUGAAAUGCUGAGAUAUCACGCAGAACCCCGAUUGCGAAGGCAGCCUGCCAAGCCAUGACUGACGCUGAUGCACGAAAGCGUGGGGAUCAAACAGGAUUAGAUACCCCAGUAGUC